Molecule: long non-coding RNA, 1725 nt
Organism: Helianthus annuus (common sunflower)
Lineage: Eukaryota; Viridiplantae; Streptophyta; Magnoliopsida; Asterales; Asteraceae
Exons: 7
Source: RefSeq, a predicted model, not a curated record
UAUAAGCAACAGAGAGAGAGAGAGAGAGAGAGAGAGAGAAAUUACGGUAGAGAGAGAGAGAGAGAGAGGCAGGAAAGAGACACGGCGGCGAGUCGCGAAAUUCGUCGGAAAAGUUUGGUUGAUAGGAACAGCUACUUGUGAAACUUAUUUAAGGUGUCAAGUGUAUCAUCCAUCAAUGGAAACCGAUUGGGAUUUACAAGUUGUACCGAUUAUUUCACGAUCACCACUUACAAACAUAUUCCCCAGGAUGGGGACCAGUGGUGUUCUUGGUGGUUCUGUUCAGUCAUUUAGCCCGUUAAAUAGUUUCUCUAUGACGAUGAAUUUGGAUCCUAACUGAAAGAUACCCUGUUGUCCGAAGUGUUCGAGUGAAUACGAACAUGAGCUAGCAAAAUUGAAAGAGUUGGAGAAACUGUGCGAUGAGGUUAACAAUAGUCUUCCUCAGUGGCUGCAAAAUGCGAACCCGAAAGAACAAUCUCAGACUAAGGAUCAAGAACUGGUUUUGAAACAAAAGAUUCAAGAGUUGUAAAAGAAAUGGCGCGAUGAGUGCUUUCGAAUUCAUCCUAAUUAUAACCAAUCUUCAAGAUUGGAUAGAAUUACACCCAUGGUUGUACCGUUUGCCGGGGCGGUAAAUUGGAUUUUAAAUAGUGUUUGACUUUAGAAAGUUAUAUCUCCAUUUCAAAAGUUUCAUUUUAAAAUGAUAAUAGUUGGUAAUUGAUGAUAAUCUAGGUGAUGAGGAGGCUGUUGAUGAUAUGGGUUAUAAAGCUUUCGAAAAAUGGAUUAAUGAUAAUUGUGGUCAACUACAGGGAGAUGUGGCAUAUGAAGACUUUGAGGGGCAUAAAGGGACUAUUGGAGCUGGUAAUUUGCAGUGGAUGACUUCUGGAAGAGGAAUUGUGUAUUCUGAAAUACCUGCUUCAAAUGGCACUAAAAAAGGCUUGCAUAUAUGGAUCAACCUAUCCUAUGGAUUAUUUUGUACAGCAAUCUUAUGGCAAUGAAAAACUGUCGUUGAGCAAUUAAAAGCUCAUCAACCAUCUUGGAAUUUCACCGGAGAUUGUUGUUGCUGCUCUUGCGAGAAAGGGUAUUAGUGUGUUGUUUCCUAUUCAGGUUAUUAACUCCUCAGGACACACCUUUGUUUCCAUCUUUGGAUGAUGAAGUGCCACAAGUUAACGUUGCACAAAGGGGUAGACCUAGGACUCAACCAAUUUCGAUUUCAAGAUCAUCGAAUAUGAAGAGCCAUAGAAGCAGUAGAGGCAGUGCAAGCCCGAACCGUGUGAGCCUAUCUCCUCGAUCUCAUAAUAGCGCAUUUGAAUCUUGAGGUGUCCGUGCCAGUGGUGGUGGUGGUGGUAAUCAGCAGUGGCCUCGACGAUAUGCCUGCAGAACUGAAGCACUUGGAACACUAUUACAAGAUAACAACACUUCAAAGAAGGGACGCGAGGAAUGAUACGGACAUCGAACACCUUUUGUACAGUUGCCAAGUAGGAAAAAAGCGCAAUUGUAGGCCAUAGUUCAGCACGCCAUGUCAUCAAGGAAUAUGUCUUUUGCACAACUGAUGUAACUAACAUGCUUAGUGUUAGUAACUUAAGUUUCAACUAUAACACAUGUACAAACCUAGUCAUAAACUCUUGGUUGUAGCCGUGUAGCUCAUGUAUCUAACCUAAUGGAUGUAACUCAAUGACAACAAGCUUAAUAUUUAUAUAUCUAGCCCCCCGCCGCAUCGCGGGGGGUUAC